UCUCUGAUCUUGAGAGAAUUUGUCCGGGAUAUGUGAGUCUAUUCUUUCUUUUAUGGGAGAUAGAUUCUGAUCCUGUUUUAGACUUAUUCUUUCGAUCAUCCUUCGUGGAGAACAGUCAUGUGCGCUUCAUUGCGUCGGGCUGUAAUCCCGAUCAAUUACUUUGAAAAAAUUAGAGUGUUCAAAGCAGGCUUACGCUGUGAAUACAUUAGCAUGGAAUAAUAAUAUAGGACUUUGGUCUUAUUUUGUUGGUUCUGAGGACUAAAGUAAUGAUUGAUAGGGAUAGUUGGGGGUGCUAGUAUUCAACGGCCAGAGGUGAAAUUCGGUGAUUCGUUGAAGACUAACUCAUGCGAAAGCAUUCACCAAGGAUGUCUUCUUUAAUCAAGAACGAAAGUUGGGGGAUCGAAGACGAUCAGAUACCGUCGUAGUCUCAACCAUAAACUAUGCCGACUAGGGAUUGGUGGAUGUUGUUUUUUGUGACUCCAUCAGCACCUUAUGAGAAAUCAAAGUCUUUGGGUUCCGGGGGGAGUAUGGUCGCAAGGCUGAAACUUAAAGGAAUUGACGGAAGGGCACCACCAGGAGUGGAGCCUGCGGCUUAAUUUGACCCAACACGGGAAAACUUACCAGGUCCAGACAUAGUGAGGAUUGACAGAUUGAAGAUCUUUCUUGAUUCUAUGGGUGGUGGUGCAUGGCCGUUCUUAGUUGGUGGAGUGAUUUGUCUGGUUAAUUCCGUCAACGAACGAGACCUCAGCCUGCUAAAUAGUUGGGCGAAUACAAUGUCGUGCUUUGUAGUGUUUUGUUUGAGUCUCUGAUUCUUACUUGAUACUCGGUGCGAUAAUUCGUGAUCAACUUCUUGGAGGGACUUUUGGUUUUUAGCCAAAGGAAGUUUGAGGCAAUAACAGGUCUGUGAUGCCCUUAGAUGUUCUGGGCUGCACGCGCGCUACACUGGCACGUUCAGCGAGUAUACAACCUUGACCGGAAGGUCUGGGUAAUCUUUGAAACCGUGCCGUGAUGGGGCUAGAUUAUUGUAAUUAUUAAUCUUAAACGAGGAAUUCCUAGUAAGCGCAAGUCAUCAGCUAGCAUUGGUUACGUCCCUGCCCUUUGUACACACCGCCCGUCGCUCCUACCGAUUGAAUGAUCCGGUGAAAUCUCAAGACUGAGACCUGUGGAAGAGAUGGUUUAUCUAUCUUUUAUCACUAGUUUUGGGAAUUUGAUUAAACCUU
RNAcentral lists this ribosomal RNA (1220 nucleotides) under metagenome. Its description in RNAcentral is "SSU rRNA". It matches the Rfam family "Eukaryotic small subunit ribosomal RNA", at positions 639 to 1767 of the family's 1831-position model. The record is from RNAcentral.